This 104-nucleotide small RNA is filed under the name uncultured Ruminococcus sp. RNAcentral's name for it is "RT-5 RNA". It matches the Rfam family "RT-5 RNA". From Rfam's summary of the family: Clostridium (Firmicutes). Lineage: Bacteria; Bacillati; Bacillota; Clostridia; Eubacteriales; Oscillospiraceae. The record is from RNAcentral.
UGUGCCUGCGGCAGGUCAGGCACAAGGCAAAACACAGGCUUCGCAGGCAGCCGCCUUGUGUACGGCCUUGUAAAUCCAAGAAUUUCUUGGAUUUAAGGUUUUCU